GAUCUAAUAGCGAAGUUGGUAUCGCAUCCACGACACCUCAGUUGGUAUUGGGUAAGGUCGAAGUGGAAGUCCCUCGUUCGAACCGAGGUUAGGUCC
Mycena rebaudengoi is the source of this 96-nucleotide non-coding RNA. NCBI's taxonomy places the organism in Eukaryota, Fungi, Basidiomycota, Agaricomycetes, Agaricales, Mycenaceae. The record is from the annotation of a GenBank genome assembly.